AUUGAACGCUGGCGGCAGGCCUAACACAUGCAAGUCGAGCGAGCGGCGGACGGGUGAGUAAUGUAUGGGGAUCUGCCCGAUUGAGGGGGAUAACUACUGGAAACGGUGGCUAAUACUGCAUACUAUCGGAUGAACCCAUUUGGGUUUAGCUAGUAGGUGGGGUAAAGGCUCACCUAGGCAACGAGCUCUAGCUGGUCUGAGAGGAUGAUCAGCCACACUGGGACUGAGACACGGCCCAGACUCCGACGGGAGGCAGCAGUGGGGAAUAUUGGACAAUGGGCGGAAUCCUGAUGCAGCAAUGCCGCGUGUAUGAAGAAGGCUUUCGGGUUGUAAAGUACUUUCGGCGGGGAGGUGUUACCCGCAGAAGAAGCACCGGCUAACUCCGUGCCAGCAGCCGCGGUAAUUC
This 406-nucleotide ribosomal RNA is filed under the name uncultured bacterium. RNAcentral's name for it is "partial 16S ribosomal RNA". It matches the Rfam family "Bacterial small subunit ribosomal RNA", at positions 30 to 526 of the family's 1533-position model. The record is from RNAcentral.